GACGAACGCUGGCGGCGUGCUUAACACAUGCAAGUCGUACGGUAAGGCCCUUUCGGGGGUACACGAGUGGCGAACGGGUGAGUAACACGUGAGUAACCUGCCCACAACUUUGGGAUAACGCUAGGAAACUGGUGCUAAUACUGGAUAUGUGCUCCUGCUGCAUGGUGGGGGUUGGAAAGCUCCGGCGGUUGUGGAUGGACUCGCGGCCUAUCAGCUUGUUGGUGGGGUAGUGGCCUACCAAGGCGGCGACGGGUAGCCGGCCUGAGAGGGUGACCGGCCAAAUUGGGACUGAGAUACGGCCCAGACUCCUACGGGAGGCAGAAGGGGGGAAUAUUGAAAAAGGGGCGGAAGCCUGAUGCAGAAACGCCGCGGGGGGGAUGACGGCCUUCGGGUUGUAAACCGCUUUCAGCAGGGACGAAGCUUUUGGGAAGGGAACCGGCAAAAAAAGAACGGGCAAACCACGG
This 464-nucleotide ribosomal RNA is filed under the name uncultured bacterium. RNAcentral describes it as "partial 16S ribosomal RNA". It matches the Rfam family "Bacterial small subunit ribosomal RNA", at positions 28 to 506 of the family's 1533-position model. The record is from RNAcentral.